This is a non-coding RNA of Sphenostylis stenocarpa, 75 nucleotides long. The record is from the annotation of a GenBank genome assembly. Lineage: Eukaryota; Viridiplantae; Streptophyta; Magnoliopsida; Fabales; Fabaceae.
GCUGAAAGAGCUCCGUUGGCUAGAGCAUGUGGCUGUUAACCACAAGAUCGGAGGUUCAAGCCCUUCUUCUUAAUG